AUUUUCCAUUAUACAAGUGAAAAAUUAUAUUAACAUAGCUUCCAAGUUACAGCAGCUAGUGUUUACCAAACACUUUAGUGUUGUACCUUUAAAGCUACAGCUACCCAAUCUCAAUAACAAACACACCCUUAAUCUCAUUCCCUUGUAAGUCUUACCUGUCCUCUCACGUUCUCUCUUACAACUUGUUCAAACCAGCCUUGCCUUUCAAAGGGAAAAAUGCAUCAUUUAGAAUAGGUGUCACCAAGCACAGCAAGAGCACAUACCUUAAAUUACAAAGGAAGAAAGGAUACUGAUAUAUAAAUUUUAAGAGCUCUAUUUGCAAUCCGAGGCAUGAACUGUCCUCCAAUCAGUUGCAAUUUUUGUGUGGCACCUGAGAAGGCUGAUUAUAACUCAUGUUAAAUGGAGAAUAAAACAUUAAAAUUGUGUGAUUGUAAGUCUGUGACCAUCUUACGUACGAUUGGUUUUGUUGCUAAGGGGCAUGAGGAAGCUUUCGGUGCGAAAUUGGAUUACUUGAGAAGGCCAUUCAAUUUGCAUUUUUCAUUGUUGCUUUGAGGAUAGAUAGAUAUAUAAUUAAUCGAUUAUGAGAGAGGGGCUUUUCAAUUAUUAUCGGCUUUCGUGGAAAGAGCUUAUAAUUAAUGAGAAACGAUGUUUAUUCUUUUAUGAGAAAUGAAACACUAAUGUUUGUUCAGCAUAAAUAAUGAAUGGUGCAAGAAGAUAAAGUUUAUUAAAAGCUUAAAUAAUGAAUGAUGCAAGAGGGUAAAGUUUAUUUGAAUACUAAAAUUUAUUAAAAGCUGACUUUAAAAUAAAAGAUCGUGAGAGGUAAUGUUCCAAUUCAACGUGAUAAAGAGAAAAAUUGUAUUCCAUAAUAAUUCCUUUUUUUUUUAAUUUAUGCAACCUUUUUAACCAAUUUGUUAAUUGGAUACAAUAUUAUUAAAAAAUAAAAAAAUUUAUAAAUAAAAAUAAUUUAUACCAUUGUUCAAAUCUAAUGGUACACAUCUGUUACAUAUUGAUGUUAUAAAAAAAACCACAUUAUAGAGUGACCCUAUA
RNAcentral lists this long non-coding RNA (1047 nucleotides) under Citrus x clementina. RNAcentral describes it as "Citrus clementina (C. clementina) long non-coding RNA (CCLE_LNC001754)". Lineage: Eukaryota; Viridiplantae; Streptophyta; Magnoliopsida; Sapindales; Rutaceae. The record is from RNAcentral.